GACGAACGCUGGCGGCGUGCUUAACACAUGCAAGUCGAACGGAAAGGCCCUGCUUUUGUGGGGUUCUCGAGUGGCGAACGGGUGAGUAACACGUGAGUAACCUGCCCUUGACUUUGGGAUAACUUCAGGAAACUGGGGCUAAUACCGGAUAGGAGCUCCUGCUGCAUGGUGGGGGUUGGAAAGUUUCGGCGGUUGGGGAUGGACUCGCGGCUUAUCAGCUUGUUGGUGGGGUAGUGGCUUACCAAGCCUUUGACGGGUAGCCGGCAUGAGAGGGGGACCGGGCACAUUGGGACUAAGAGACGGCGCAGAGGCCAACGGGAGGCAGCAGUGGGGAAUAUGGCACAAUGGGCGGAAGCGUGAUGCAGCAACGCCGCGUGCGGGAUGACGGCCUUCGGGUUGUAAACCGCUUUCGCCUGUGACGAAGCGUGAGUGACGGUAAUGGGUAAAGAAGCACCGGCUAACUACGUG
Molecule: ribosomal RNA, 468 nt
Filed under: uncultured bacterium
Lineage: Bacteria
Description: partial 16S ribosomal RNA
Rfam family: Bacterial small subunit ribosomal RNA
Source: RNAcentral